UUCAUGAUAUAAUUUUUUCUUUUUUAUACAUUUUUCUCUUCUACAGUUUUUUUAUUUUUGCCUAUCAAGCAUGAUAACAUUAUUUUCCCUUAUCUGAUAUUUUCUGCCAGUAAACUGCUUUUUUGCUAUCUUCCAUGAGAAGAUAGGAUAUCUGAUAUCCAUAAUGAUUGUACUUUUGAUAAAGUCUUUUUCAAUAAAAGGAACUCAUCCUUCUGGAUUUUCUGACUUUUCAUUCGUAUUACUGUAUUACUAAUAUGGAGUAUGAGAUGACAUUGACAUUUAUCUUUCUGUAAAUAACUGAAUAUGCACUGUGUUACCCAGGUUUUUCUUUGGUCAUUUGAGAAUCUUAGUCCUUUUAGCUUCUGUUGUAUUUAUUAUCGUCUGUGAGGUUUAUGUAUGAUGUACUUUCAUGUUGCUCUAAUGCGAAAGUUCUAGAGAAGGUACGGACAUAUUUGCUUAGUAAAUGUUAUUUAAAGACUUAACUUAUUGUUGACUUUGUUUAUUAUGUUUUUAGGUAUACAACACACCAUGAGAGGAGCCUUUCACCGGUGAAGACGUUGAUUUAGUACAAAACAAAAUUGCAUCUUAUUUAACGAAUAACUAUCAACUAUGAGGUUUGAAGUAAUCAUUUGCCAAAACUUACUUUUUGUACAUAGAACUAAAUAUUUAGUAAUGAUACGAGAUUUAGUUUUAGUUGGUUUUGUAUUCUAACUAUGGUCAUUUCAGGAUGAUUAGUUAGGGUGAUGGAUGAUGGAGUUUGGUUUGUUGGUGUAGUUGGUUAUCGGAGAUUGAGAUGUGGCUAUGUUUUACAAGUGAAAUUGAAAAUAAAAAUAUUUGGGUUGUCUUCAAAUAUAAAGGAAACUCUGCCAAAAUUUGUACUUAGUUUGGGUAAUAAAAAGGCAGAAUUGCCUCUAUAUUUAAAUAUUUUUUUUAAAAAAAAAGUCAUUUGCUACGUUUAAAAAGCAAAAUAGUAGCAAAUAUAAUUCAAAUUAUCCGCCAUAACAAUGACAAUUGCUGCAUUUUUUUACCAAAAAAUACUGCAAAAAACAAUUGUAUUUACCACAUUUUUCUGUGAAAAAUGCUGCAAUUUACAGUUUUUUUGCAGUAUUUUUUUGGGCCGGCAAAUGACAUGGCACAUUUGCAGCCCCCAAUCUGCCGCACCACGAUAAAUGCAGCAAACGAGGCUGUUUCAUGGGCAGCAAAUCCCCUUUAUUCUACUAGUGUUUAUACUUCUUGUAUCUUCGUUCUUUGUAUUUUUCUUCUCUAUUUCAUAUGGCUGGUUCGUCUUCUAGAAUGGGGAAUCUUCUCAUGUUCCAAGAAUCUUUGAUGACAAAGCACGAGGAAAUGCAGUCAGCUUGCAAUUCUUCAAGGAUGAUAGAAGAUGCUAAUUCAACUGGGGUGGCCAUCCUUUCAAAGUUUUCAGAGCAAAGAGAAAGCAUGAAAGAUUGCACAACGCAAGUUACUUGAUGUGCUAAGGUUGAUUGAGAGGCUGAAUGGUGUAGAUACUUGGAUAAAAUUUGCUGGCAUGAUCCUCACUUUUAUCGUUUUGAUUGUAUUGUGGAGGUGAAAACACUAACAAACCCCAUUGUGAUCUGUGAUGAAUUCCUUGCUGUCUAAACCUGUCUCUUGCAAAACAACUCGGAUUUAUUGCCUAGGAUAAAAAUCUGGUAUGCUUCACGUUUAGUAUCACAAUUGUUGGAUACCGUCAUACAGAAUGAUUAUUGUAAAAAGAUUGGUCAUCGUGAUAAGCUUUUGAUUGUCUACGGAAAUGUAAGUACGACAUAAUUGACAAUCACUCACCAAUUUCUACCAUACUUUGCUCCUUCAUCUGACUUUAUUAUCUCGCAGUUGUACCGAUCACCAUCAAUAUGUCUACACUCUCCACGGACGUACCCCUACUUUCAGAUUGAACCUCAUCGGCUCUACCAAGUGACAGUUCAACCUCAUAGAACACCAACAAUCAUCACCAUCGUCGAUGCAUCAAACUUGAGCCCCUUUUCACGGUGUGUUUUUUCUUUUGAACAAGUAUGAAACUUUUCUUUUAUUAUUAUACUUGGUAUAUAUUUCUCUCCUUAAGUUUGUUGUAAUUUAACAUAAUUAAUCCUUUCUUUUUUGAAAUUGUAUUAUUCUAAUACUUCGUAUAUAAUUUCUCUCCCGA
Long non-coding RNA from Spinacia oleracea (spinach), 2158 nucleotides. RefSeq lists it as uncharacterized. The transcript has 2 exons. The record is from RefSeq and is a predicted model, not a curated record. Lineage: Eukaryota; Viridiplantae; Streptophyta; Magnoliopsida; Caryophyllales; Amaranthaceae.